Molecule: ribosomal RNA, 253 nt
Filed under: uncultured bacterium
Lineage: Bacteria
Description: partial 16S ribosomal RNA
Rfam family: Bacterial small subunit ribosomal RNA
Source: RNAcentral
UACAGAGGUCCCGAGCGUUGUUCGGAUUCAUUGGGCGUAAAGGGUGCGUAGGCGGCGGGGCAAGUCUGAUGUGAAAUCCCGGGGCUCAACCCCGGAACUGCAUUGGAUACUGCCUUGCUCGAGUACUGGAGAGGGAACUGGGAUUUACGGUGUAGCAGUGAAAUGCGUAGAGAUCGUAAGGAAGGCCAGUGGCGAAGGCGAGUUCCUGGACAGUUACUGACGCUGAGGCACGAAGGCCAGGGGAGCAAACGGG